RNAcentral lists this long non-coding RNA (7869 nucleotides) under Manihot esculenta (cassava). RNAcentral describes it as "long non-coding RNA (MESC_LNC010309)". Lineage: Eukaryota; Viridiplantae; Streptophyta; Magnoliopsida; Malpighiales; Euphorbiaceae. The record is from RNAcentral.
GGGAUAACAACAAUCUAUGGUCAAGCACACCUCUAACAUCCAUAAACAUCAUCUCAUUACAUAUCUAAACUAUACUUUUACAUUACAUCAUAAUCAUUUAUCAUGUCCACACUAACUAUUACAUAAACAAAACUUCGUUACUCUAUCCGGACUCCUGCUCUAUCCUGUACCUGCAAGCCUGGGGGUAAAGGGAGAGGGGUGAGCUAAAAGCCCAGUGAGUAGGACUAUAAAAACAUAUUAACACUAUGCUCCAUGAAAUGCAUCAUAACACAGACAAUUCACAUAAGGGUUGGGUGAACUUGUCACCAAUUAGUCCCAGCUAACUCUGUGCCAGGCCGUAGCAUGGGGUCCUGGUCUUCCUGUCAUAACAUACAUUACUUACCAUUACCCCAGGGCCUCCUCUGGGCUCCUGGUCUUCGAGUCCCAUAACCGUGCCAGGCCGUAGAAUGGGGUCCUGGUCUUUCCUUACUCUGUGCCAGGUCGUAGAAUGGGGUCCUGGUCUUCCUGUUAGGGACUAAUUGGGUCAUCCAAUAUUCACCCACAUCAACAACAAAUGAUGCAAUGCGGCAUAUUCGUGAAAACUAAUGCAAUCAUCCUAUUGCAUAUUCAUGAUGCAUGAAACAUGAUAAAAACAUUUGAUUUCUCAAUUUAAAAGAUUAAGUUUAGUUCCACUCACCUUUGGCUGACUCUGACAACACCGAAGCAGCUGAACUCACUGCUGGGGUCUUCGGUUCCUCGGGUCCAAACCUACACAGGUGGACUCAAAUGAGGGACCAAACAUACUAGAACAUAUCUCUAAACUACUCCCCAAAAACCCCCUAAAACAUCAUGAAACAACCAUAGAAAAACAUGCAAAGGAGGCCUGGACAGGGCACUUUCGGCGGUAGGUUCGGCGGCCGAAAGUUCCUCCAGAGCCGAAAGUCAGGCAGGUUCGGCGGCACCUUCGGCGGCCGAAACUCCCAGACAGAGACGAAACUCAUGCAUGUUCGGUGGCACUUUCGGCGGCCGAAACUGCCAGACAGAGACGAAAGUCUCCUUUCGGGGGCAGGCUUCAGCAGCCGAAAGGCUUGCCUCCCCAGCCAUGUUCGGCGGCCGAAAGUCCUUCGGCUGCCGAACCUGGUUUCUGCCAAAGGGCAGAAACUUGGCUCCUUUUGCACAUUUCGCCUCCAAACCUUCCAAACAUGCAUCAAACCUAUUCUACAACACACAUACACAAGCAUACAUGUUCCUAGGGGCCUCAAACCAUCAUAAACCCCAUCUAUAACACAUCAAGCAUCCACAUUGUUCAAGAACACACAUUAAACCCAUAAAUAUAACCAUAACCUAAACAUGCAUUCUACCCCCAUAGAUCUACUUAAAACUUACUUAAAACAUGCAAUGAGCUUAAGAUCGGCUCUUACCUUUUGAAGAUCGAGAGAGAGACGACCUAAAACUCGGAGGUGGAAGAGAUUGGGUUCUUGAACCUCCAAGCUCCAAAACCUUGCUCAAAAGCUCAAAUCUUCAAAACAAAGUUAAAACAAAUGAAAAUCUUGAAAGAUCUAGAGGAAGAGCAUCAAAGAUUGGUGAGGGACGGCGGAGAACUCACCUUGGCCGACAACGGGGAGAAAAGCUCGCCCGUUUUCGGCUAAGGGACCCUUUUAUAGUGGCUGGCGAGGCCACGUUCGGGGGCCGAACGUGCCUCCGCAUGCAUGCCAUGUUCGGCGGCCGAACUUGGGGUUCGGCGGCCGAACCUGGACUUCCCUCACUUAUGCCUUCGGGGGCCUAAGGCACACCCGAAAUGCAAGCAUGUUCGGCGGCCGAACUUGAGGUUCGGCGGCCGAACCUGAGUUUUCCUCCAAAACUAUUUUCAUGCAAAAAAUCAUUUUCUUUCAUGCUUAAAACAUAAAACACAUUAAAACAUUUUAUAAAAACAUGGUUCUACCCUUCUAGAGGUCUCCGACACCUGAAAUUCCACCGGACGGUAGGAAUUCCGAUACCGGAGUCUAGCCGGGUAUUACAUUCUCCCCCCUUAAGAACAUUCGUCCCCGAAUGUUCCUCAACUAGCACAUGCAUAGAGUCAUCACAUCAUACACAUAAAACACACAGAGACUAACCUUAAAAGAGAUGAGGAUAUUGCCGGAGCAUAGACUCCCGUGUCUCCCAAGUGCACUCUUCCAGAUUGUGGUGGUUCCAAAGGACUUUCACAUCGGGAUUUUCUUGUUCCUUAGCUUUCUGAUCUGGGUGUCUAGGACCCGUACUGGCUGUUCAACAUAGGUGAGAUCUUCUUGGAUCUCCACAUCAGGCUCACUAAGAACCUUGCCCGGAUCUGACACGAAUUUUCUCAACAUAGAAACAUGGAAAACCGGAUGGAUUCUUUCCAUUGAAGCAGGUAAAUCCAGCUUGUACGAUACAUUCCCAUUCUUUUGCAAGACUUCAAAGGGUCCGAUGUACCGUGGAGCUAGCUUACCUUUCUUUCCAAAGCGAACCACUCCUUUCAUAGGAGACACCUUGAGCAAUACCAGAUCCCCCUCCUGAAACUCUACCUGUCUUCUGCGGAUGUCUGCAUAACUCUUCUGUCUGCUUGCAGAAGUCUUGAUUCUUUCUUUGAUUAUGGGUACCACCCUGCUGGUAAUCUCUACUAGCUCAGGCCCUGCUAAGGCCCUCUCUCCAACUUCCUCCCAGCAAACAGGUGAUCUGCACUUCCUUCCAUAUAAAGCUUCAUAUGGAGCCAUCCCGAUGCUAGCAUGAUGGCUGUUAUUGUAGGCAAACUCUACCAAAGGUAGAUGCUGCCUCCAAGAACCGCCAAAGUCCAGCACACACAUUCUUAGCAUAUCUUCUAUGGUCUGGAUGGUCCUCUCUGAUUGUCCGUCUGUCUGAGGAUGGAAAGCAGUGCUAAAAUCCAACCUGGUACCCAUGGCAUCUUGCAGACUCCGCCAAAACCUGGAGGUGAACUGGGGUCCUCUAUCUGACACUAUAGAAACAGGAACCCCAUGCAGCCUGACGAUCUCAUCAACAUACACUUGCGCCAACUUGUCCACAGAAUAGCCAGUCCUGACAGGGAUGAAGUGAGCAGAUUUAGUGAGUCUGUCCACAAUCACCUAUAUGGAGUCCACUCUGUUGGACGUCGCCGGUAACCCCACUACGAAGUCCAUAGCUAUAUUCUCCCAUUUCCACUCUGGAAUAGGUAGCGGGUUAAGCAUUCGAGCCGGCUUCUGGUGUUCCAGCUUCACCCUCUGACAUACUUCGCAGGCUGACACAAACUGUGCCACUUCUCUCUUCAUAGCUGGCCACCAAUAAACUUUCUUUAGGUCUUGAUACAUCUUGGUGGCUCCGGGGUGAACGCUGUAUCUUGCAUUAUGAGCCUCUCUCAUAAUGUCUCCUUUUAGCCCUACGUCAUCUGGUACACACAAUCGACUCCCAUAGCGGAGGAUCCCCUUACUGUCAAAUCUGAACUCACUAUCUUUGCCUGACUGAACAGUCCUGGCAAUCUUCACUAACUCUGGGUCCUCAUGCUGUUUCUGAGCCACCUGCUCCAGAAACACGGGCGCCACUCUCAUCUGGGCUACCAAAGCAUCUGUACCAGACAAAUCCAACUGUAGACCUUCAUCAAUGAGCUUGUAAAACUCCUUCACCACUGGUCUCCUCUCUGCCGUGAUGUGGGAUAGACUGCCUAAUGACUUCCGGCUUAGGGCGUCUGCCACGACAUUUGCCUUACCCAGAUGAUACUGAAUCUUGCAAUCAUAGUCACUCAGCAGCUCUACCCAUCUUCUCUGUCUCAAAUUCAGAUCUCUUUGACUCAGGAUGUACUGCAGGCUCUUAUGAUCUGUGAAGAUCUCACAUUUUUCCCCAUAGAGGUAGUGCCUCCACAUCUUGAGUGCAAAGAUUACUGCUGCCAUCUCUAGGUCAUGCGUGGGGUAAUUUAACUCGUGCUUCUUCAGUUGUCUAGAAGCAUAAGCAAUCACCCUUUCAUUCUGCAUUAGCACACAACCCAAUCCCACUCGGGAUGCAUCACAGAACACUGUGAAGUCUUCAUUGCUAGCUGGCAGAGCUAGCACUGGUGCUGAAGUCAACCUCUUCUUAAGCUCUUCAAAACUCCCUUCGCACUGGUCGGUCCACACAAACUUCUGAUUCUUUCUGGUUAACCUAGUCAGAGGAGCUGCAAUUUUCGAGAAGUCCUGAACGAACCUCCUGUAGUAACCUGCCAAACCCAAGAAACUUCUAAUCUCUGUCACUGAAGUGGAUCUAGGCCAGUUAGCCACAGCUUCUACCUUCUUGGGGUAUACCUCUAUUCUAUUUUCUGACACCACAUGCCCCAAGAAUGAAAUGCUCCUCAGCCAGAACUCACACUUGGAGAACUUGGCAUACAAGCCAUGUUCCCUCAAGGUCUGUAGAACCAACCUUAGAUGAUGGGCAUGCUCCUCUGCAUUCCUGAAAUACACUAAGAUAUCAUCUAUGAAGACAAUAACGAAGUGAUCCAGGUACUGGCUAAACACUCUGUUCAUGAGGUCCAUGAAUGCUACAGGGGCGUUGGUUAACCCGAACGGCAUCACAAGGAACUCAAAAUGCCCAUAUCUGGUCCUGAAAGCUGUCUUUGGCACAUCUUCUUCUCUGAUCCUCAAUUGAUGAUACCCAGAUCUCAGAUCUAUUUUGGAGAAACAACCCGCUCCUGCUAGCUGGUCGAAUAGAUCAUCGAUCCUUGGCAAUGGGUACUUGUUCUUGGUAGUGACUUUGUUCAACUGCCUGUAGUCGAUACAAAGUCUAAGGGAUCCAUCCUUCUUUCUCACAAACAAAACUGGAGCACCCCAGGGUGAGGUACUCGGUCGGAUGAAGCCCUUGUCUACCAGUUCCUGUAUCUGCUCCUUCAACUCUUUCAAUUCUGCUGGUGCCAUCCUGUAAGGAGGGAUAGAGAUCGGUCGGGUUCUAGGCAUCAGUUCUAUCUCGAACUCUAUCUCCCUAGCAGGUGGUAAACCUGGCAGCUCGUCUGGGAACACAUCUAAGAACUCUCUAACCACUGGCACCGAGGUGGGCUCUCUAACCUGACUGCUAAGCUCUCUCACAUGAGCCAAAUACCCCUGACAUCCCCUCCUGAGCAACCUACGAGCUUGAAGAGCUGAUAUCAGACCUCUAGUUGUACCCCUCCUGUCUCCUCUGAAGACAACCUCAGACCCAUCCUGACCUCUGAACCUGACUACCUUGUCCCUGCAGUCCAAGGUAGCACCAUGGGUAGAUAACCAGUCCAUCCCUAGAAUGACGUCAAAAUCUGUCAAAUCUAGAACCACUAGGUCGGCGGACAAGCAUCUUCCCUCAGCAAACACAGGACUACACUGGCAGACUGACUCUGCCACUGAUGGAUCACACUUGGGUCCACUGACCCAGAGAGGACACUCUAACCCAGAAGUCAUCAGACCCAACCUCUGGACGGCUCUCAGAGCGAUAAAAGAAUGAGAUGCACCAGGGUCCAUCAAGGCAUACACAUAUGAACAACCAAUGAUUAAGUUACCUGCCACCACGGUGUUAGAUGCAUCUGCCUCCUGCUGUGUCAUUGUGAAGAUCUGUGCUGGAGCUGAUGGACCUUCACCUCUGAAACCCGCUGAAGAAGAGGCUGCCCCUCUCCCUCUGCCUCUGCCACUGACCUGAGUCGUGGCUGGAGCUGCUGGCUGCGCUACACUGCCUGAAGCUGUCUGCUGGGACUGAGCCAUCGGGACUGCUCUUGGAUAUUCUCGAGCCAUGUGCCCUUCCUGACCACAUCUGAAGCAGGCAUUCGUCCCAAACCGACAUACUCCCUUGUGUGGCCUACCACACCUCGCACAAACUGCAUUAUCUGCACCAGAGCUUAAGCCGCUUCCAAAUCCCAGACUAAACUUAACCUUGUUCCAAAACUUAUUCUUCUUACCCUUGCGCUUACCCCAUCUCUUACUGCCUGAAGCUGCUGCACUCAGGGUAGAGGGAUCUAAUCUUCCUCCACCCGGAGUUUUAGAACCAGAAGACUGUGCCACUGUCUGCUUAACUGUCCCCUGAAUGAUGGCACUGGCCUCCAUUUUCCUGGCCAUAUCUACUAUGGCAUGGAAGCUCUCCCUGUCCACGGACUGAAUCAAGGAGGAAUACCUGGAAUGAAGUUUCAUGACAUACCUCCUUGACUUCUUCGAAUCUGUAUCCAGACUCUGCCCAACAAAAGGCAACAGCUCCAAGAAUCUGUCGGUGUACUCCUCUAUACUCAUUUCAUCCGUCUGCCUCAACUGCUCAAACUCUAUCAUCUUCAGCUCCCUUGAACUAUCGGGAAAAGCCCAUCCUGCAAACUCGUUUGCAAACUCCUCCCAAGACAUGCUGUCCACUCUCGGGUUCACAUAAUUCUUGAACCACUCUCGUGCCUUCUUGCACUUAAGCGUGAACCCAGCCAUCUGUAUGGCUCUACUGUCAUCAGCCCCAAUCUCAUCUGUGAUCACCUUAACCCUUUCAAGAUACACAAAUGGGUCAUCCCCUUUUUCAUACUGAGGAGCACCCAGUUUCAUGUAGUCAGUCAUCUUAACCUUGCUCCCACUGGCUGAGCUAGGUCUAGAUGGUUGAGUAACUGGGGCUGCUGGUUCUGUAGGUGGUGGAGGUGGUGCAACAUUUUCUGAGGUAGGGUUUGCUGGAUUUGGAUAGUAGGGUGGAGGUGGAUACAUUGGGUACUGUGAGUAUGGUGGGUAGUAAGGUGGGUAGGGCAUGUGUGUGGGGUAAGGGGUAAAGCUAGGGUAAUCCGAUGUACCUCCCAUCGAAUACCUGGGAUGUUGUGAGAAGUGUGGGUAGUGGGGUGGCUGAACAAAUCCCGAGGCCUGAGUGCCUCCUUGGGACUCUCCCAUAUCUUCUUCUGACCUACUAACUCCCAAACUGCUAUCCCUUCUCUGCUCUACAUCCAUAUCAUCCCCCAUGCCCUCUGACAUUCCUCCUUGAACUGUUCCCCUCACUGAUCUGCUUCUACCCAGAUCCAGAGACCUUCUAGGGUCUCUUGCUGCCCUUUCUCUGUUAGACCUACUCGACAUUGCCCUAGGCAAUGUAGGAGGACGGGCGCUCAUGCCCUCAUCCUUAGGUGGUACUCCAGGCAAUCGUGCAGAUCGACGAGUUCCUCUCAUCCUGUUUUCUGAAAAACAGCACAUAACAAACAAACAUUAGCACCAUAUGGUUCAUGUGGGCACACAUGAACUCGCAUCAUAUACAUCACAUAGCAUUAAUGCACAUGUAUAUAAUCAUGGCAUUUCACAUCAUCAUAAAAGACAGGACUCCACAUCCUAUCCUAGUGGACAUGAUCUUUCCUAUUGUGCUUGACCUUCUAUAACCUCUAUGAGCCCGACACUCUAGGUCCGACCAUAUGAACCUAGGGCUCUGAUACCACUCUGUAACGACCCAAAAAUCGGACCGCUACCGGCGCUAGGAUCCAGAUCGGCUUAAGGCCGCCGGGACCCGUAGCAAGCCUGACAUAUAACCUGUAAACCUGUAUAAUCCCAUACAUGAUCAACAACAUACAUAAAAAUUAAAACUUUUCUUUCCAUUCAUACACCAAACUCAACCUGCGCAUGCACUGUACAUAACAUAAAUCAUAAACAUUGAUCCCUCUGUGGGAUUCAACAGUGCCCCCAAAUGGGUGACAUAACAUAUGUUGAGUUGGUUUACAUAGACAUCAUAAAAAUCUGUAAGAUCAUGUAUUAAAAGGGAUAACAACAAUCUAUGGUCAAGCACACCUCUAACAUCCAUAAACAUCAUCUCAUUACAUAUCUAAACUAUACUUUUACAUUACAUCAUAAUCAUUUAUCAUGUCCACACUAACUAUUACAUAAACAAAACUUCGUUACUCUAUCCGGACUCCUGCUCUAUCCUGUACCUGCAAGCCUGGGGGUAAAGGGAGAGGGGUGAGCU